This 464-nucleotide ribosomal RNA is filed under the name uncultured bacterium. RNAcentral's name for it is "partial 16S ribosomal RNA". It matches the Rfam family "Bacterial small subunit ribosomal RNA", at positions 339 to 795 of the family's 1533-position model. The record is from RNAcentral.
CUACGGGGGGCAGCAGUGGGGAAUAUUGCACAAUGGGCGCAAGCCUGAUGCAGCCAUGCCGCGUGUAUGAAGAAGGCCUUCGGGUUGUAAAGUACUUUCAGCGGGGAGGAAGGGAGUAAAGUUAAUACCUUUGCUCAUUGACGUUACCCGCAGAAGAAGCACCGGCUAACUCCGUGCCAGCAGCCGCGGUAAUACGGAGGGUGCAAGCGUUAAUCGGAGUUACUGGGCGUAAAGCGCACGCAGGCGGUUUGUUAAGUCAGAUGUGAAAUCCCCGGGCUCAACCUGGGAACUGCAUCUGAUACUGGCAAGCUUGAGUCUCGUAGAGGGGGGAAGAAUUCCAGGUGUAGCGGUGAAAUGCGUAGAGAUCUGGAGGAAUACCGGUGGCGAAGGCGGCCCCCUGGACGAAGACUGACGCUCAGGUGCGAAAGCGUGGGGAGCAAACAGGAUUAGAUACCCUCGUAGUC